GAUGAACGCUAGCUACAGGCUUAACACAUGCAAGUCGAGGGGAAACGACAUCGAAAGCUUGCUUUUGAUGGGCGUCGACCGGCGCACGGGUGAGUAACGCGUAUCCAACCUGCCCACCACUUGGGGAUAACCUUGCGAAAGUAAGACUAAUACCCCAUGGUCUCCACGGAUGGCAUCUGAAAUGGAGUAAAGGUUUCGGCCGGUUGCGGAUGGGGAUGCGUCCGAUUAGCUUGACGGCGGGGUAACGGCCCACCGUGGCAUCGAUCGGUAGGGGUUCUGAGAGGAAGGUCCCCCCACAUUGGAACUGAGACACGGUCCAAACUCCUACGGGAGGCAGCAGUGAGGAAUAUUGGUCAAUGGGCGAGAGCCUGAACCAGCCAAGUAGCGUGCAGGAUGACGGCCCUAUGGUUGUAAACUGCUUUUAUAAGGGAAUAAAGUGAGUCUCGUGAGACUUUUUGCAUGUACCUUAUGAAUAGGACCGGCUAAUUCCGUGCCA
RNAcentral lists this ribosomal RNA (496 nucleotides) under uncultured bacterium. RNAcentral's name for it is "bacterial SSU rRNA". It matches the Rfam family "Bacterial small subunit ribosomal RNA", at positions 28 to 510 of the family's 1533-position model. The record is from RNAcentral.